This 253-nucleotide ribosomal RNA is filed under the name uncultured bacterium. RNAcentral's name for it is "partial 16S ribosomal RNA". It matches the Rfam family "Bacterial small subunit ribosomal RNA", at positions 524 to 776 of the family's 1533-position model. The record is from RNAcentral.
UACGUAGGAGGCAAGCGUUGUCCGGAAUUACUGGGCGUAAAGCGCGUGUAGGUGGUGGGACAAGUCUGCUGUGAAAGUGCCUGGCUUAACCGGGCGAGGUCGGCGGAAACUGUCCGACUCGAGGACGGUAGAGGGGGGUGGAAUUCCCGGUGUAGUGGUGAAAUGCGUAGAGAUCGGGAGGAACACCUGUGGCGAAGGCGGCCCCCUGGGCCGGCCCUGACACUGAGACGCGAAGGCGUGGGGAGCAAACAGG